This 245-nucleotide long non-coding RNA is filed under the name Ricinus communis (castor bean). RNAcentral describes it as "long non-coding RNA (RCOM_LNC002505)". Lineage: Eukaryota; Viridiplantae; Streptophyta; Magnoliopsida; Malpighiales; Euphorbiaceae. The record is from RNAcentral.
GAACGGGUCGUGACAGAAACAAAUCAGUAUUGAUGGGGUAAUAAUCAAUAGGUUCACCAUUUACAAAACACAUGUUCAUCAGUGUAUCACUUGAGGUUCAUUAAAUAUAUAACACAAGUUUAUAGCUUAUAUAUUUAUUAUUCAUAGGUUACAAUCAAGAGGUUCAUUAUUUACGAGCAAUAAGUUUAUCAAAAUAUCAUUUGAGGUUUAUCAAAAUAUAUAACACAAAUUCAUUAAUCAUAUGU